CUGUGAGCUCGAUGAGUAGGGCGGGACACGUGGUAUCCUGUCUGAAUAUGGGGGGACCAUCCUCCAAGGCUAAAUACUCCUGACUGACCGAUAGUGAACCAGUACCGUGAGGGAAAGGCGAAAAGAACCCCGGCGAGGGGAGUGAAAAAGAACCUGAAACCGUGUACGUACAAGCAGUGGGAGCACAGAGCAAUCUGUGUGACUGCGUACCUUUUGUAUAAUGGGUCAGCGACUUAUAUUCUGUAGCAAGGUUAACCGAAUAGGGGAGCCGAAGGGAAACCGAGUCUUAACUGGGCGUUAAGUUGCAGGGUAUAGACCCGAAACCCGGUGAUCUAGCCAUGGGCAGGUUGAAGGUUGGGUAACACUAACUGGAGGACCGAACCGACUAAUGUUGAAAAAUUAGCGGAUGACUUGUGGCUGGGGGUGAAAGGCCAAUCAAACCGGGAGAUAGCUGGUUCUCCCCGAAAGCUAUUUAGGUAGCGCCUCGUGAAUUCAUCUCCGGGGGUAGAGCACUGUUUCGGCAAGGGGGUCAUCCCGACUUACCAACCCGAUGCAAACUGCGAAUACCGGAGAAUGUUAUCACGGGAGACACACGGCGGGUGCUAACGUCCGUCGUGAAGAGGGAAACAACCCAGACCGCCAGCUAAGGUCCCAAAGUCAUGGUUAAGUGGGAAACGAUGUGGGAAGGCCCAGACAGCCAGGAUGUUGGCUUAGAAGCAGCCAUCAUUUAAAGAAAGCGUAAUAGCUCACUGGUCGAGUCGGCCUGCGCGGAAGAUGUAACGGGGCUAAACCAUGCACCGAAGCUGCGGCAGCGACGCUUAUGCGUUGUUGGGUAGGGGAGCGUUCUGUAAGCCUGUGAAGGUGUACUGUGAGGUAUGCUGGAGGUAUCAGAAGUGCGAAUGCUGACAUAAGUAACGAUAAAGCGGGUGAAAAGCCCGCUCGCCGGAAGACCAAGGGUUCCUGUCCAACGUUAAUCGGGGCAGGGUGAGUCGACCCCUAAGGCGAGGCCGAAAGGCGUAGUCGAUGGGAAACAGGUUAAUAUUCCUGUACUUGGUGUUACUGCGAAGGGGGGACGGAGAAGGCUAUGUUGGCCGGGCGACGGUUGUCCCGGUUUAAGCGUGUAGGCUGGUUUUCCAGGCAAAUCCGGAAAAUCAAGGCUGAGGCGUGAUGACGAGGCACUACGGUGCUGAAGCAACAAAUGCCCUGCUUCCAGGAAAAGCCUCUAAGCAUCAGGUAACAUCAAAUCGUACCCCAAACCGACACAGGUGGUCAGGUAGAGAAUACCAAGGCGCUUGAGAGAACUCGGGUGAAGGAACUAGGCAAAAUGGUGCCGUAACUUCGGGAGAAGGCACGCUGAUAUGUAGGUGAAGCGACUUGCUCGUGGAGCUGAAAUCAGUCGAAGAUACCAGCUGGCUGCAACUGUUUAUUAAAAACACAGCACUGUGCAAACACGAAAGUGGACGUAUACGGUGUGACGCCUGCCCGGUGCCGGAAGGUUAAUUGAUGGGGUCAGCGCAAGCGAAGCUCUUGAUCGAAGCCCCGGUAAACGGCGGCCGUAACUAUAACGGUCCUAAGGUAGCGAAAUUCCUUGUCGGGUAAGUUCCGACCUGCACGAAUGGCGUAAUGAUGGCCAGGCUGUCUCCACCCGAGACUCAGUGAAAUUGAACUCGCUGUGAAGAUGCAGUGUACCCGCGGCAAGACGGAAAGACCCCGUGAACCUUUACUAUAGCUUGACACUGAACAUUGAGCCUUGAUGUGUAGGAUAGGUGGGAGGCUUUGAAGUGUGGACGCCAGUCUGCAUGGAGCCGACCUUGAAAUACCACCCUUUAAUGUUUGAUGUUCUAACGUUGACCCGUAAUCCGGGUUGCGGACAGUGUCUGGUGGGUAGUUUGACUGGGGCGGUCUCCUCCUAAAGAGUAACGGAGGAGCACGAAGGUUGGCUAAUCCUGGUCGGACAUCAGGAGGUUAGUGCAAUGGCAUAAGCCAGCUUGACUGCGAGCGUGACGGCGCGAGCAGGUGCGAAAGCAGGUCAUAGUGAUCCGGUGGUUCUGAAUGGAAGGGCCAUCGCUCAACGGAUAAAAGGUACUCCGGGGAUAACAGGCUGAUACCGCCCAAGAGUUCAUAUCGACGGCGGUGUUUGGCACCUCGAUGUCGGCUCAUCACAUCCUGGGGCUGAAGUAGGUCCCAAGGGUAUGGCUGUUCGCCAUUUAAAGUGGUACGCGAGCUGGGUUUAGAACGUCGUGAGACAGUUCGGUCCCUAUCUGCCGUGGGCGCUGGAGAACUGAGGGGGGCUGCUCCUAGUACGAGAGGACCGGAGUGGACGCAUCACUGGUGUUCGGGUUGUCAUGCCAAUGGCACUGCCCGGUAGCUAAAUGCGGAAGAGAUAAGUGCUGAAAGCAUCUAAGCACGAAACUUGCCCCGAGAUGAGUUCUCCCUGACUCCUUGAGAGUCCUGAAGGAACGUUGAAGACGACGACGUUGAUAGGCCGGGUGUGUAAGCGCAGCGAUGCGUUGAGCUAACCGGUACUAAUGAACCGUGAGGCUUAACCUU
This 2550-nucleotide ribosomal RNA is filed under the name Escherichia coli. RNAcentral describes it as "partial 23S ribosomal RNA". It matches the Rfam family "Bacterial large subunit ribosomal RNA", at positions 397 to 2925 of the family's 2925-position model. Lineage: Bacteria; Pseudomonadati; Pseudomonadota; Gammaproteobacteria; Enterobacterales; Enterobacteriaceae. RNAcentral also lists the same sequence under 1 other name. The record is from RNAcentral.